GCUAACAACAACAACAACAAAGGCAGUAAAAGCGAUGUCGUUUUUGCAGCCAAAGUGAUGGACAAGAAAGAGCUAGCGUCGAGGAGUAAAGAAGGGAGAGCUAGGACCGAGAUGGAAAUACUCGAAUUGUUAGACCAUCCAUUUUUACCUUCGCUUUACGCCGUUAUCGAUUCCCCUAAAUGGUUCUGUCUGUUGACGGAGUUUUGUCCAGGCGGCGACCUUCAUGUCCUCCGUCAACGUCAACCUCUCAAAUGUUUCCCCGAUUCCGCCGUCAGGUACGUCCUCCGUUAAAAGAAAAAAAAACGUUUCCUUCUUUGUUUUUGGAUAUUUGAGAGUGAUGAUCGGGCAAAAUGAACUCAAAAGGACGGGGGCCCCAAUCUACUGUAAAUCGGAUUAGAUUCAUUUCGUUGUUUUUGGCUAUGAUUAACGGUAGAUCCGGGGGAUUGGCUCGGGCUACUAAGGUCAAAACAUGUUUGAGAUUUUGACUUUUUCAGCUAGUAAACCAAUAACUUUCAAACGCGUAUCCAAGUACAUUUAUGAACAAUAGUGCCUAAAAUAUCGCAUCAAGGCCACCUUGACCCGUUCUAAUUUUUGGGUAAAAGCGCCAAUUAAAUUACUCCUGUUGCCUUAUUAUAUUCUUAAAAAUACUUAGGGAAAGCCAGCUCAGCUUAAUAACACGGCGGACAAAGCAAUAUCAUGAUCCCAUCAUUUAGUAUUUCUUUUCAAUAAUAAUUAAUUAAUUAUUAAAGAACGGGUAAAAUGAGAUGAUAAAGAUCUCUUUUUAAGUUCGAUUUUCAGUAUGAAGCAUUUUAAAUUUAGUACUUACAGACCCCAGAACCAAAAAGAAAAUAAAUAAUUAUUAAAUCUUGUAUUAUGUUAUUCUAUAACUUUAUUUUCUAGGCUUAACUUAGGUACCUUUAAUACAUGUGUGCAUGUCUAAUACUUACUAUAUGAAGUUACUCCUCACGUUUGUGAGCUUUAUUUAUAAAUUUAUAUAUGUUAAAGUAAAUUAUUAUGAGUGAGAAAUUUAGUAGAAUAGGAUUAGCUCCAAAGCAAAGUUGUGCAUCUUAAAUAGUAUUAUGUGCUUCCAGAUUGUAUUAAUUAGCAAAAAGUGAAGCCAUUAGUUUUAUGUUAUUUAUUUAUUUAUUAUUUUUAAAAAAACAAAUACAUUUGGAUAGAAAAUUUUUUACUUUAUAUUCACUCAUCUUCAACGUUUAACUCGAAUAACAUGGGUAAUCGAAUAAUAAACUUUUUCCCUUUUGUUUGACCUCAGGAAAUUCAGUUUUAUGUUGCUUUGACUUUUCUGUACUUGAAUCUACCUUGUUCAGUAUAAAAUUUACUUCUGCAACUAUAUAAAAAAUUUAGGAAAGAAUUGAAUAUAGGAUACAGCCGGUUUCCGAGCUCUUAGAGUUGAAUACCCUUUUUCUUUUCUGGAUUUCUGGGAUUUGUUUUAGCAUCUUUGAUGAUGGAUGGAUGGAUGGUAGACCCUGUUUUCAUUUCAUUUUAUUUUAUUUUAUAAAGCUCUCCGGUCCCUCUCUAGUUAGUCUCUUGUCUGUGUCACUACCACCUAGCCAUCCAUUACUAAUAAUGACAACGGUGACAAGAUGUUCAUAUAACCACCAUUUAUUUAGGGGGAAUUAGCUUUCAAAUCAAAGAAAUCAUUAUUAUUAUUUGCUUCGACUUUGAAUGGAUCUUGUAGUUCAAGAAGGUAAGGUUCAAGAAAUAACAACAAACUUUAUGCAAAUAGUUCCGCUUUGAUAAUGAACACUGAGUCGUUACAUGAUUGAUAAAAAUAUUGUUUCCUUUAUGCAAUUGUACAAUACUACAUGAUUGAGAAAUUCUAUAAGCUUAUUUUUCAUUUAUGUGCUAUUGCUUUGUUCUAGUAGAUUCAGUACUUAAUUUGAUAUUCACACCCACCAUAAUUUUAUUAGUAUUUCCACCGUUAAUGAUUCAGAUUCAGCUAUGAAUGAUUGUAAGAUACCCAAAAUACUAGGGAACAUCUAGGAAGAGUGCAAGGGGAAUAUGCUUCAAUGUAAGGACACAAGUUAGAGAAACUUUUGAUUGCUUUACAUCUCCCUGUUGAAGAUUUUUGCCUCAUUACAUCCAUCUCUUGCAUGAAAAGAUUCUGAGGGAACCUGGAAAACAAGACACGUAGGUCCCUUAUAGUCUAUAUAAUGUAGUAGAGGUUGAAGCAAAAUAAUUUCUUGUCUUAGUUUAGUGUGUAAGCAAGUUUAAAACCGUAGUGUAUGAAUGAUAAUAGUAGUAGGGUCCUUUAUGUCCCUUGGUUAAUGUGAUCAUAAAGUUCAUGGCACUAUGAGCAUCUCAAUUAUUUUCUUGUCUAUUAUUUUUCUUUCUUUAACUCCACCUAUCAAUGGACCCUGGCUCGAGAUUUUAGUAUUAUCAAGUUGUUGAUCUUAAUUAGUUUAAUGAGAUACUGAUGAAACUGAUUAAAAUUAUAGGUAGUUGAUUGCUUUGCUUAUUCUUGGUGUCUCCAGGUUCUAUGCAUCGGAGGUGGUGGUGGCUUUAGAGUACCUCCAUAUGAUGGGGAUUGUUUACCGUGAUCUAAAGCCUGAAAACGUGUUGGUUCGAUCAGAUGGUCACAUUAUGCUCACGGAUUUCGACCUUUCAUUGAAAUGCGAUGAGUCCACAUCAACGCCCCACAUUGUUUCCGAUCAAAAACCGCCGGUACCAGGUCUGCGGACUG
Molecule: long non-coding RNA, 2704 nt
Filed under: Gossypium barbadense (sea-island cotton)
Lineage: Eukaryota; Viridiplantae; Streptophyta; Magnoliopsida; Malvales; Malvaceae
Description: long non-coding RNA (GBAR_LNC017753)
Source: RNAcentral